RNAcentral lists this transfer RNA (70 nucleotides) under Amolops larutensis (Larut sucker frog). RNAcentral describes it as "tRNA-Ala". It matches the Rfam family "tRNA". From Rfam's summary of the family: Transfer RNA (tRNA) molecules are approximately 80 nucleotides in length. Their secondary structure includes four short double-helical elements and three loops (D, anti-codon, and T loops). Further hydrogen bonds mediate the characteristic L-shaped molecular structure. tRNAs have two regions of fundamental functional importance: the anti-codon, which is responsible for specific mRNA codon recognition, and the 3' end, to which the tRNAs corresponding amino acid is attached (by aminoacyl-tRNA synthetases). tRNAs cope with the degeneracy of the genetic code in two manners: having more than one tRNA (with a specific anti-codon) for a particular amino acid; and 'wobble' base-pairing, i.e. permitting non-standard base-pairing at the 3rd anti-codon position. Lineage: Eukaryota; Metazoa; Chordata; Amphibia; Anura; Ranidae. The record is from RNAcentral.
AGGGCUUUAUCUUAAUCAAAAGAAUCUGGGUUGCAUCCAGGUGAUGUGGGUUAGUUCCCCAUAGGUCCUA